Molecule: ribosomal RNA, 470 nt
Filed under: uncultured bacterium
Lineage: Bacteria
Description: bacterial SSU rRNA
Rfam family: Bacterial small subunit ribosomal RNA
Source: RNAcentral
UGGGGAAUAUUGCGCAAUGGGCGAAAGCCUGACGCAGCAACGCCGCGUGAGUGAUGAAGGCCUUCGGGUCGUAAAGCUCUGUGGGUAAGGACGAAAAACAUUGGCUAAUAUCCAAUGGCUUGACGGUACUUCCUUAGCAAGCACCGGCUAACUCUGUGCCAGCAGCCGCGGUAAUACAGAGGGUGCAAACGUUGCUCGGAAUCAUUGGGCGUAAAGCGCACGUAGGCGGCCUGAUAAGUCGGUAGUGAAAGCCCUCGGCUUAACCGAGGAAGUGCUAUCGAAACUGCCAGGCUUGAGUACCGGAGAGGAUCGCGGAAUUCCCGGUGUAGAGGUGAAAUUCGUAGAUAUCGGGAGGAACACCAGUGGCGAAGGCGGCGAUCUGGACGGAUACUGACGCUGAGGUGCGAAAGCGUGGGGAGCAAACAGGAUUAGAUACCCUAGUAGUCCCUGAGCGGGCUGGCAAGGCGCAU